UGGUACACUGCCAAAGGUAUUUGUAUAGAGUCAUAUCAUCCUAUCUGUCCUUCAUGUUGAGUUGUAAGUAAAUAAAAGUGUGAUGAUCAUCAUUAUUUAGGGCAUUGUCUCAAUGAGGAAAGGAUGAUGGAGUCAAUGAUCCCCCCACAAGUUGGGAAGAGACUCCGGACGAAAAAUAAAAUAAAAAAGAGAAAACAAAAAAAGGAAAGAAAGGAAAAAAGAGAAAGAAA
This 230-nucleotide long non-coding RNA is filed under the name Hordeum vulgare. RNAcentral's name for it is "long non-coding RNA (HVUL_LNC007008)". The record is from RNAcentral. Lineage: Eukaryota; Viridiplantae; Streptophyta; Magnoliopsida; Poales; Poaceae.